MicroRNA precursor from Monodelphis domestica (gray short-tailed opossum), 61 nucleotides. Ensembl annotates it as mdo-mir-7398c. The record is from Ensembl. Lineage: Eukaryota; Metazoa; Chordata; Mammalia; Didelphimorphia; Didelphidae.
UGUGUAGAGGCAGGGAAAUAUGCUGUGUUUUCUCUUUCGGUAAAUCCUUGUUUCUCACAGU